Molecule: ribosomal RNA, 456 nt
Filed under: uncultured bacterium
Lineage: Bacteria
Description: bacterial SSU rRNA
Rfam family: Bacterial small subunit ribosomal RNA
Source: RNAcentral
UACGGAAGGCAGCAGUGGGGAAUAUUGCACAAUGGGCGCAAGCCUGAUGCAGCCAUGCCGCGUGUAUGAAGAAGGCCUUCGGGUUGUAAAGUACUUUCAGUCGUGAGGAAGGUGUUAAGGUUAAUAACCUUAGCAAUUGACGUUAGCGACAGAAGAAGCACCGGCUAACUCCGUGCCAGCAGCCGCGGUAAUACGGAGGGUGCGAGCGUUAAUCGGAAUUACUGGGCGUAAAGGGCACGCAGGCGGUUUAAUUAAGUUGGAUGUGAAAUCCCCGGGCUUAACCUGGGAAUGGCAUUCAAGACUGGUUAGCUAGAGUCUUGUAGAGGGGGUAGAAUUCCAUGUGUAGCGGUGAAAUGCGUAGAGAUGUGGAGGAAUACCGGGUGGGCGAAGGGCGGCCCCUGGACAAAGACUGACGCUCAUGUGCGAAAGCGUGGGGAGCAAACAGGAUUAGAUACC